This 157-nucleotide ribosomal RNA is filed under the name Thuja sp. RM-2019. Its description in RNAcentral is "5.8S ribosomal RNA". It matches the Rfam family "5.8S ribosomal RNA". From Rfam's summary of the family: 5.8S ribosomal RNA (5.8S rRNA) is a component of the large subunit of the eukaryotic ribosome. It is transcribed by RNA polymerase I as part of the 45S precursor that also contains 18S and 28S rRNA. Functionally, it is thought that 5.8S rRNA may be involved in ribosome translocation. The record is from RNAcentral. Lineage: Eukaryota; Viridiplantae; Streptophyta; Pinopsida; Cupressales; Cupressaceae.
ACGACUCUCGGCAACGGAUAUCUCGGCUCUCGCCACGAUGAAGAAUGUAGCGAAAUGCGAUACUUAGUGUGAAUUGCAGAAUCCCGUGAAUCAUCAAGUCUUUGAACGCAAGUUGCGCCCGAGGCCUCGGCCAAGGGCACGUCUGCUUGGGCGUCGC